CCUACGGGAUGCUGCAUUGGGGAAUAUUGCACAAUGGGGGAAACCCUGAUGCAGCGACGCCGCGUGAGUGAAGAAGUAAUUCGUUAUGUAAAGCUCUACAAGCAGGGAAGAAAAUGACGGUACCUGAGUAAGAAGCCCCGGCUAACUACGUGCCAGCAGCCGCGGUAAUACGUAGGGGACAAGCGUUAUCCGGAUUUACUGGGUGUAAAGGGAGCGUAGACGGAAGUGCAAGUCUGGAGUGAAAGGCGGGGGCUCAACCCCCGGACUGCUCUGGAAACUGUACGGCUGGAGUGCAGGAGAGGUAAGUGGAAUUCCUAGGGUAGCUGUGAAAUGCGUAGAUAUCAGGAGGAACACCGGUGGCGAAGGCGGCCUGCUGGACUGCGACUGACGUUGAGGCCCGAAAGCGUGGGGAGCAAACAGGAUUAGAUACCCCAGUAGUC
This 440-nucleotide ribosomal RNA is filed under the name uncultured bacterium. Its description in RNAcentral is "partial 16S ribosomal RNA". It matches the Rfam family "Bacterial small subunit ribosomal RNA", at positions 338 to 795 of the family's 1533-position model. The record is from RNAcentral.